UGGGGGAUAACGCAUCGAAAGAUGUGCUAAUACCGCAUAUCUCUCAGGAGGAAAGCAGGGGAUCGAAAGACCUUGCGCUAAAGGAGCGGCUGAUGUCUGAUUAGCUAGUUGGUGGGGUAAAGGCUUACCAAGGCAACGAUCAGUAGCUGGUCUGAGAGGACGACCAGCCACACUGGGACUGAGACACGGCCCAGACUCCUACGGGAGGCAGCAGUGGGGAAUUUUGGACAAUGGGCGAAAGCCUGAUCCAGCCAUGCCGCGUGAGUGAAGAAGGCCUUCGGGUUGUAAAGCUCUUUUAGUCGGAAAGAAAGAGUCAUAGUAAAUAGCUAUGAUUUAUGACGGUACCGACAGAAAAAGCACCGGCUAAC
Molecule: ribosomal RNA, 368 nt
Filed under: uncultured Nitrosomonas Al-8N
Lineage: Bacteria; Pseudomonadati; Pseudomonadota; Betaproteobacteria; Nitrosomonadales; Nitrosomonadaceae
Description: SSU rRNA
Rfam family: Bacterial small subunit ribosomal RNA
Source: RNAcentral